RNAcentral lists this long non-coding RNA (479 nucleotides) under Triticum aestivum (bread wheat). Its description in RNAcentral is "long non-coding RNA (TAES_LNC025468)". Lineage: Eukaryota; Viridiplantae; Streptophyta; Magnoliopsida; Poales; Poaceae. The record is from RNAcentral.
UCGUUACACGUAAUGUGUGCUCUGGUGCAGGACAUUGAUUCCCUUAUAUCUGGUUUCUUCAUGGUGUUUGUACAUAUGAAGCUCUUGCUUUUUGAUCAGUCUGGCUAGGUACUAUGGUGAUGGAUGAGUGCCAAACAGAAAAGAACAAAAACAUAGGGAAUAAUAGCUGUGAUAAGUUCUCUCUUACUGCAUGCUAGAUUUGUAACUCUGAACCAUAGUUAACAGCUUGUAGUAGGGUCAUCUUUUUCAUUCGAGUUGAACCAAGGGUACUUAUGUAAAUUAGCGAGUAAUAAUCAUCAUCUCACUUUGGAUUACAGCAUUAUUGGAUUACAGUAUUGCUGUCAUUUGAAGCGAUGACCUGUUUGCUUGAGUACUACUGUCAUUUGAAGCGAUGACCUGUUUGCUUGCUGACAUUCGCCGCCUCGGCAGUCACGCUUUGACGCAUGACAGCUAAAACAAUGAAAAUUCGCAGGGCACGC